This 214-nucleotide non-coding RNA is filed under the name Alteromonas australica. Lineage: Bacteria; Pseudomonadati; Pseudomonadota; Gammaproteobacteria; Alteromonadales; Alteromonadaceae. The record is from RNAcentral.
UUUCACGCCACUGUCACAGGUGCCUAACGACACAUCAUGCAAAAGUGUCUGGUUAGGUUAAACGGGAAAUGUGGUUCCCAUCAAACAAUCUUCAUGAAUAUUAGUGUGCUUGUACGUCAUGAUGGCUUACGUUUGUUGUUAUUCCACUGCUGCCCCCGCAACGGUAAUACGCCAAGCGCGUUAGCCCGACACCGGCCUGAAAUAUUAUUCACAG